RNAcentral lists this ribosomal RNA (530 nucleotides) under Micromonospora wenchangensis. Its description in RNAcentral is "bacterial SSU rRNA". It matches the Rfam family "Bacterial small subunit ribosomal RNA", at positions 31 to 579 of the family's 1533-position model. Lineage: Bacteria; Bacillati; Actinomycetota; Actinomycetes; Micromonosporales; Micromonosporaceae. The record is from RNAcentral.
GAACGCUGGCGGCGUGCUUAACACAUGCAAGUCGAGCGGAAAGGCCCUUCGGGGUACUCGAGCGGCGAACGGGUGAGUAACACGUGAGUAACCUGCCCUAGGCUUUGGGAUAACCCUCGGAAACGGGGGCUAAUACCGGAUAUGACCUUUCCUCGCAUGAGGGUUGGUGGAAAGUUUUUCGGCCUGGGAUGGGCUCGCGGCCUAUCAGCUUGUUGGUGGGGUGAUGGCCUACCAAGGCGACGACGGGUAGCCGGCCUGAGAGGGCGACCGGCCACACUGGGACUGAGACACGGCCCAGACUCCUACGGGAGGCAGCAGUGGGGAAUAUUGCACAAUGGGCGGAAGCCUGAUGCAGCGACGCCGCGUGAGGGAUGACGGCCUUCGGGUUGUAAACCUCUUUCAGCAGGGACGAAGCGCAAGUGACGGUACCUGCAGAAGAAGCGCCGGCCAACUACGUGCCAGCAGCCGCGGUAAGACGUAGGGCGCGAGCGUUGUCCGGAUUUAUUGGGCGUAAAGAGCUCGUAGGCGGC